This 7269-nucleotide long non-coding RNA is filed under the name Sus scrofa (pig). RNAcentral describes it as "lncRNA (ENSSSCG00055024177.1)". Lineage: Eukaryota; Metazoa; Chordata; Mammalia; Artiodactyla; Suidae. The record is from RNAcentral.
UGUUUUCUUCUAUUGUAUCUGAUUUUGUCUCUUUCAGUUGUAGGCACUCUUCAACAUGUCAGAUCUUUGGCUAUCUCUAUUCACUUUAAGACUGAAGCACCGAAAACUACCAGGAAGCUCCAGAGCAUGUGGAUAUGGGUAUGUGGACAGAGCCAUCAACUGACUGGCUUUUCUUUAGGAUUUUCAACACUGAGCCAAAAUUUUUGGAGGGAUAGAUGCAAAUAUCAAUUCUCUGGUUAUCUGGGAUGGGGAAGAGAUCUGGUUCCCUACACACUAUAUGCAGACUUUCACACAGUGGCUCUUGCUUUCUGAUCAGAGUCUCAUGCCUUUUUCUCAGUGGAGUCUCCAAAUCCUAAAUCUCUCAAGAGUCUGUGGUUCUACUCAAUGCCAGAGUUUUCUAUGACAGACCCUUAAGUUAUAGUCUGCUCCUUCCUGCAAAGCUGGUGACCACUAUUUCAUCUGCUUUCCAUCCUCCAAAAGCUCAUUUAAAUGUCAUGUCUGUUGUUGCCCUCCUGUUCUCUAUGUUCUUGGGUCCAUUUUUACUCCUUUAUUGUCAUUUUGGCAAAAUUUUGGUAGAGCCACACCUGUGGCCAAUCAACACUUUAAGACUAAAACUCAUCACAUGAGAACUGAAAACACUGAUCCUCAAGAAAGAAAGCAAUUAGGGACUUGAUUUCUUUCUCUCAGAAAGCUUCUUGCCACCUACACAAAUGUGUCUACUUAACUUUCUCAGAGAAAUAAUUUCUCUAGGCCAAAAGCUCUGAGUGGGUAGACAUUAACAACUAAAAGACAUAUCCUGUUAUACUGACAAGUGGAGGGGCUUAGGAGGGGAGAGAGGGAGAAAAUGAAAUGUGGCAAGCAUUGAAAGAAAGGGAGCCGAGGAGGCAAUGAGAGAUUGCAUAGCCUAGAGGAGAUGAGAGGAACAAAGAAUUCCAUGCCACUUUAUGCAGCAAAGCUCUGCUACUUUCCAUUCUUAAUAACACAUCUUAACUUACAUUUAUAUUAUUUUACACCUGGACUGUUACAAGUGUCUCCCAACAGAUAGUCCUCCUGUUCCUCUUGGCUCCCAUAAAUCCAUCACCAUAUGGUUACGUCACACUCUUGUUUAAAAUCCUUUACUGGCUCUCAUUGACCUCAGCAUGAGGGCCUAGUCACGUCUGACACACAAAGUCUUCUGUUACCUGGCCUCUGUUUGCCUCUCCAGCCUCAUCUUUCUCUACUUCCUGCCAUGUAGUUUUUCCCUUCAAUCUUCUUGUGUUCUCCCUUCAACCUGCAAUUCCCCUUGCUUGCUUAGUGCCUGGUCAUUCUCUAAGAUGCUCAGACAUUGCUCACUGACCUCAGAAAGUCCCACCACCACCUCUUCCUCUGUGUUAGGUGUUCCUCACUGGGCUUUCAUAAAAACCUAUGCUUCUACAUCCACAUUUGUUUGUGUAUGUGUGUGAGUGCAUAGGUGUGCACAUGUGUUUAAAUAGUUAUCUGUUUACUAUGUGCUCCCUAGUCUAACAUUCUCAAGGGAAAAAAAACCCAAAAACCUGCAUCUUUGAUCUCUGAAACUCUAUCACAUAAUACCUUGCACAUAAUAGGCACAGUACUGAAUGAAUUAAUGAAUGAUUGAGCAAAUGAAUGAAUUAAUUUCAGAAGGAGUCAUCUGGAUGGGGUAACUUAAAAAGCUUUCAGAGUUCCCACUGUGGUUUAGUGGUAAUGAACCUGACUAGUAUCCAUGAGGACAUGAGUUCAAUCCCUAGCCCCCCUCAGUGGAUUGAAGAUUUGGCAUUGCCAUGAGCUGCAGUGUAGGUCACAGACACAGCUCAGAUCUGGUAUUGGAAUAGCUGUGGCACAGGUAGCUGCAGCUCCAAUUCAACCCCUAACCUGGGAACCUCCAUAUGCCACAGUGCAGCCCUAAAAAGACCAAAAAAAAAGUUUCAAUCAGGGGGCUGUUCUAGAGUCAAUUCUGAAGGACCUCACUGAAUAAAUAAAAAAAUAUGUUGUCAUACCUCCCUCCAAAAUAAAUUUCUGAUGGAUCAAAGACUUAAUUUUGAAAGAGAGAAAGAGCCAUGACAAUACCAGAAGAAAGCCUGUGAGAAUGUUAUAUUUUAGAGUGGAGAAUGUUUUUCUAAUGAGAAAAUUUAAAGAACUGCGGUUUCAACUACAUAUUUCUUUAACUACAUGAAAAAAACAUCCCAUGAACCAAGUCAAAUGACUAGCUGCAAAGACUAUUUAUAACAUGUAUAAGAAAGGGCUAAUUUCCUUAUUAAAUAUAAAGGGUCACUAUAAUGAGAAGACUUAUAAUCCAAUAGAGAAAUGAGCAAAGGCCAAGAACAGAGAGCCCACAUAUAAGGAAAUACAAAGGAAAUUUAGAUGAUUUUAAAGGUGCCCAAUUUUAUUUACAGUAAGAAAAAUAGACUAAAUAUUUGGGGAUUCCAUCCUCACUUGGAUCAGCAAAGAUUAAUCUGGUUUGCAAGGAUGGGAUGAAACAGGCAUUCUUACACAUUGUUGGUAGGGGAUGUAAAUUGAUACAAAUUUUGAAAAGGACACUUUGCCAGUAUGUAUUAAAAGUGAAAACGCACAUGCUUUUGAUCUGGCAUUUGUACUUCUAGGUGUACCUUACAUCUAGGAGUAUAAAUUUAGAUGUACUGGGCUAUCUAUUGCAUUAAUUAACAAAUAUUAAGUGCAUGUUAUGUGUAAAACUUUGUCUAAGGGUUAGAGGUUAUAAUGGUGAGCAAAACAGAGAAAGAUCAAGAUGGCAGGAGAGUAAGACAUCACACUCACCUUCUCCCACAAACACAUAAAAAAAAAACCAUAUUUACAUGUAAAAUCAUAAACACAGAACAUCUACUGAAUGCUGGUAGAACUUAAACCUCCAAAAAGGGCAAGAAACCCUCCACAUAACCGGGUAGAACAAAAGAAAAAGAGAGAGAGAAGAAUCAGGACGGGACUAGCACUCUGAGAGGGAGCUGUUAAAGAGGAAAAGAACCCACAACCUGGGAAGCCACCUUAUUGACAGGGAGAUCAGCUGAGAUGGAAGGACUUCAAAGUCACUGAGAAAAGCACAGCAGCUGGACUGAGGAGGACAAAGCAGAGUGAGAGCUGCACAGAUCAUCUGCACCACUGCCCCGGAUAUUACAGCCUGAGACGCUCGGGGGUGGGGGCUGGAUGUGGAGACUCAGGCUCUGGAGGUCAGUUCCAGGGAAAGGACUAUGGUUGGCUGUGUGGAGACAGCCUGAGGGUCUAGGGAGUGGUGUGCCAUGGGUUAGCAAAUGGAACACCACAGCCAAGGGAACCUGGGAGAUGGGCUGGGCCUGUAGGAGAAGCAAGCUGCCAUUGUUGGGGAGGGUGAGAGGAGGAGGGGAGGACCGCCAUAGGAAUCUCUUUCCCUGUGCAUGUGCAGGCUCUCAGAGGGCAGGGUGCCUCUGGUGAGGCUAAGGGUGGCAAAAGGGCACUUGCUUGGGCUGCAGGAGACCUGGCACCUCUUCUUUGGGGUAUGGGUGGCUGGGUACCUCUUAUGUGGGCUAAGGGCAGUUGGGGAGUAAGUGUGACAUGGUGCCUUUUGUGUGAUCUACAGGUGGUGGGAAUAAACCAUAGCAGUCAUCUCAGAAACUGGAGGGGGGCAUGGCCUGCCACCACUAGGGGUCUGUGAACAGGCUCCACCUGCCACCCUAGUCACUUUAGAGGAUGGCAAAAAGGGCACUGCAACAGAGCACCACCCAAUGUUGCUCUCACUCCCCUGGGAACAUACCUGCCCUGCUGCUGCCACCACCAAAAGUUCCAGGCAGUGCCCACACAUGCCUGAUCACUGUAACUUCCCAGGACCCUGCAACUAGGAGCAGGCUAUGCAGCACCUCCUGCAUGGGCUAAGUGGGACAGAGUGAUUCUUCCAUGGUUUCCAUGGUGGUGAGGGCAAACCGCUACAGCUUUCUCUGAGUCCAGAGGUGGGCAUGACCUGCCACCACUAGGGGUCCGUGAACAGGUACCACUUGUGGCCCCGGUUACCUCAGAGGGCAACAGAGAUGAGGACAUUGCAACCAGACACCACCCAUUAUUGCUCUCCCUCCCCUGGGAACUCACACACCCUUCUGCUACCACUGCCAAAUGCUCUGGGCAUCACCUAAAUCUGCCUGAGUCUCAUUACCACUUCCCAGGGCCCUGCAACUAGGAGUAGUCUGCACCACCCUACCCAUUGCCUCCUUCUUCUUGGAAACACACUCAGCACCCUGGGGCCGACAGCCUGCUCACACAAAAGAAAGAGACAGCAAAUAUCCAAACUCCCAUGCCAAAAAUUAAUAAUAACCCCCUGCAGAAUACAAAGGGCUGCUCUUGCAUAGAAAUAGCCCUCCAAGACUACAGUAGUUGCUUUCAGUAAACUCACAGAAUAAGAAAAAUAUAAGCAAAUGAAGAAGCUCAGGAACCAUUCUCAGUUAAAAGAACAGGAGUAUUCACCUGAAGCAGCAAAUAAUGACACAGACCUCUGCAGUCUAACAGACACUGAAUUCAAAAAGGAGAUAAUGAAAAUACUGAAGGAAUUAAGGGUGCAUAUGAAGGAAUUAGGAGCAGAUGUAAACAGUAAUGCAGAUUACUUUAGACAGGAACUAGAAAAUAUAAGGAGGAGCCAAGAAAAAUUGGAAAAUUCAUUUGCAGAGAUGCAAACUGAGCUAAAGGCACCAAAGAGCAGAAUGAAUAAUGCAGAGGAAAGAACAAGUGACUUGGAAGAUAGAAUAAUGGAAAUCACCCAAUCAGGAAAGCAGACAGAAAACCAAAUGAAAAAACAUGAAAGGAAUAUAAGAGGUCUAUGGGAUAAUAUAAAGUGGUAAUAAGGAUUCCAGAAGGAGUAGAAAAACAAAAGGGGAUUGAAAAUACAUUUGAGGGGAGUUCCUGUCAUGGCUCAGUGUUUAACAAAUCCAACUAGGAACCAUGAGGUUUGGGGUUCGAUCCCUGUCCUCGCUCAGUGGGUUAAGGAUCUGGCGUUGCCUUGAGCUGUGGCGUAGGUUGCAGAUGCGGCUCAGAUCCUGUGUUGCUGUGGCUCUGGCGAAAGCCGGUGGCCUUCUGAUUAGACCCCUAGCCCGGGAACCUGCAUAUGCCACGGAAGCGGCCCUGGAAAAGGCAAAAAAAAAACCAAAACCAAAAACAAAAUAUAUUUGAGGAAAUUAUGGCUGAAAACUUUCCAAAUCUAAGGAAACAGAUAUCAAGAUACAGGAAGCACAGAGGGCCCCAAACAAGUUGAACCCAAAUAGGCCCACACCGAGACAUAUUAUAAUACAAAUGGCAAAAGUUAAAGAUAAAGAGAGGAUUGUAAAGGCAGCAAGAGAAAAAGCGUUAAUUAUAAGGGAACCCCCAUAAGGCUAUCAGCUGAUUUCUCUACAUUAACACUAUAGGGUAGAAGCGGCAAGAUACAUUCAAAGUUCUAAAAGGGAAAAAUUUGCAGCCUAGAAUAGUCUCCCAGCAAGAAUAUCAUUUAAAAUAGAAGGAGAAAUAAAGAGUUUAUCCAACAAACAAAAACUAAAAGAGUACAGCAAUACUAAACCCAUUCUAAAAGAAAUACUGAAAGGGCUUUUCUAAAUAAAAAAAAAGAAUAGGAUGGAGGAAAUGACAAUUGGAAAGCAAUCAUUUAAAUAAGCCAGGAUACAGAUCUAAAAGGAAAAAAAAAAACCUAUUGUAAAAGUGACAAUAAACACAAGGAACAGUAAAAGGACAUACAUGAAGAUGUCAAAAAAGGACUUCAAAAUCAUAAAAUGUAGAGAAGGAAAAGUAAGAAAAUCUAGACUCUUUUAGAAUGUGUUUGAGCCUAUAUGACGAUCAGGCUAAAGCAAGCAGAUAUAGGAAGGGGUUAACAUACUUGAAAAACAGGGCAACUACAAAUCAAACCAAACAUUACAUUCACAAAAACUAAAAACAAAAGGGCACAAGCAUAAAACAAAAGGAAAUCAUCCAACCAAAAAAAAAGAAAGGAACAAAGGAGAAACAUAGAAUCACUGGAAAAAUAGGUUUAAAAUGGCAACAAAGACAUAUUUAUGAGUAAUUACCUUAAAUGUCAAUGGACUGAAUGCUCCAAUCAAAAGACAUAGAGUGGCAGAUUGGAUUAAAAAAGCAAGAGCCUACAUGCUGUUUACAAAAGACUCACCUUAGGGCAAAGAUACAUAUAAAUUGAAAGUGAGAGGAUGGGAAAAGAUACUUCAUGGCAAUGGAAAAGACAGGAAAGCAGGAGUUGCAAUACUCAUAUCAGGCAAAAUAGACUUUAAAACAAAGGCCAUAAAAAAUACAAAGAAGAACACUAUUUAAUUAUAAAAGGAUCCAGUCAAGAAAGGGGGUAUUACAAUUGUCAAUAUAUAUGCCCUCAUAUGGGAGCACCCAGAUACAUACAGCAAAUACCAGCAGACAUAAAAGAAGAAAUUAAUGUGAAUACAAUAAUAGUAGGAGACUCUAACACUUCACUCACAUUUACUGACAGAUCCUCUAGACAGAAAAUCAAUAAGGCAACAGAGAUCCUAAAGGACACAAUAGAAAAGUUAGACUUAGUUGACAUUUUCAGGACGUUAUAUCUAAAAAAAUCAGAAUAUACUUUCUUUUCAAGUGCAUAUGGAAUAUUCUCGAGAAUUGACCACAUACUGGGGCAUANAUACUUCAAACAUCUGGGAAAAAAUAAAUUUUUUUUUUUUUUUUUUUUUUGUCUUGUCUUGUCUUUUCUAGGGCCGCACCUGCAUCAUAUGGAGGUUCCCAGGCUAGGGGUCUAAUCAGAGCUGUAGCCUCCAGCCUAUGCCAGAGCCACAGCAAUGCCAGAUCCAAGCCAGGUCUGUGACCUACACCACAGCUCACAGCAAUGCCAGAUCCUUACCCCACUGAGCAAGACCAGGGACCGAACCCCAAACCUCAUGGUUUAGUCGGAUUCGUUAACCACUGAGCCAUGACGGCAACUCCCACAAAAGUAAUCUUAACAAAUUUAAAAGUAUAGAUAUUAUUUCAAGUAACCACAAUGGCAUGAAAGUAGAAAUCAACUACGGGAAAAGAAAUGAGAAAAAACUGACUACAUGGAGACCAAACAACAUGCUACUAAAAAACCAAUGAAUCAAUGAGGAAGUCAAAAAGGAAAUUAAAAAAUACCUUGAGAUAAAUGAUAAUGAAAACACAACCAUUCAAAAUCUAUGGGAUGCCACAAAAAGCAGUGCCUAGAGGGAAAGUUCAUUUCAAGACAGGCCUUCCUCAAAAAAGAAUAAAAAUCUCAAAUCGACAACUUAACACACCACCUAGAAUUAGAAAAAGAAGAAAAAAAAAAAAAAA